CUUACAAGCUGUGUGACCUCGGAGAGAUGGCGCUAGUGAUAAAGAACCCACCUGCCAAUUCAGGAGAUGUAAGAGACUUGGGUUCAAUCCCUGGUCGGGAAGAUCCCCUGGAGGAGGGCACUGCAACCCACUCCAGUGUCCUUGCCUGGAGAAUCCCAUGGACAGAGGAGCCUGGCGGGCUACAGUCCAUGGGGUUCCAAAGAGUCAGACAGGACUGAAGCGACUUAGCACGCUGCACACAUAAACUCCUGAGAGAUGGGUGGAGUCGGACUGCUUCAAUUUCUCCCGGAGCUCACCUGCUAUUAGCAGUGUGUUUGUGUCUAAGUUCCCUUGUGUGUGAAACAGAAUGACGCUGGUGCCCAUCUCAUGGAAUUGUUACAAGUUGCAGUGGGAUUUACUACCCUAUGCCUUAUGGCAUCAUCGUAGGUAGCUUUCAGUCACCAUUACUAUUCAUUCCCUUCUUGUCAACCAACUUGCUUUGGAGUUGUCUGCCUUCUGAAAUUGUUUCUGAAGAAAAGCACUGACUUUCCUGAUACAGCAAACGUCGACAGGACACCAACAUUACUAGAAAGUGUCCCAAGAGGAAGAUAAAACCAAAGUGGCCCAGAACCACGGUGAGGAAAUGAACCAAGAGAAAACAAUCUCUAGAAUUCUAAGUGUGCAAACCAUAUUCGAGGCUGAGAGAAGGGGCUGUCUUCUCAGGCCUGAGUCCUACGAAUCUGGUGUCAGAAGCUGCUGGCUAAGGUUGCCCUCUUAUACCACCUCUAGGUCUUGCCCUUCCGGAGAGGUAGGUGAAGGGGUACAGA
Bos taurus (domestic cattle) is the source of this 806-nucleotide long non-coding RNA. NCBI's taxonomy places the organism in Eukaryota, Metazoa, Chordata, Mammalia, Artiodactyla, Bovidae. The record is from Ensembl.